RNAcentral lists this transfer RNA (81 nucleotides) under Candidatus Megaera endosymbiont of Hartmannula sinica. Its description in RNAcentral is "tRNA-Leu". It matches the Rfam family "tRNA". From Rfam's summary of the family: Transfer RNA (tRNA) molecules are approximately 80 nucleotides in length. The record is from RNAcentral. Lineage: Bacteria; Pseudomonadati; Pseudomonadota; Alphaproteobacteria; Rickettsiales; Rickettsiaceae.
GCAUUCGUGGCCGAGUGGUUAAGGCGCCAGACUCAAGUUCUGGUGUGGCGACACGCGUGGGUUCGAAUCCCACCGGAUGCA